RNAcentral lists this unclassified non-coding RNA (298 nucleotides) under uncultured cyanobacterium. RNAcentral's name for it is "partial 16S-23S ribosomal RNA intergenic spacer". The record is from RNAcentral. Lineage: Bacteria; Bacillati; Cyanobacteriota.
UAGGGAGACCUAAUCCACUCAAACAUCGAAAACUUAUCUUAUAGUGAUUAGAUACUGAGUUGGUCAUUCCUAGGUCGGUCGAGUAUUGGUCAAAGCUUUCAAAGUAUUUUUGGUUCAGUUCAAAAACAUCUAAAUUUGUAAUUGGAAUAGAAAUUCAGCAAUUGAUUGUAGAGACAAUCGAACUGCUGGGUAGAUAUCCAGCCAGAACCUUGAAAACUGCAUAGUAACGCGAAAAAAAAGCAGGCAGACACAGACAUCAAUGAUGAAAGUGUUUGCAUGGAUAAACCAAUGAAAAAGU